AGUGAACGCUGGCGGUAGGCCUAACACAUGCAAGUCGAACGGCAGCACAGUAAGAGCUUGCUCUUACGGGUGGCGAGUGGCGGACGGGUGAGGAAUACAUCGGAAUCUACUUUUUCGUGGGGGAUAACGUAGGGAAACUUACGCUAAUACCGCAUACGACCUACGGGUGAAAGCAGGGGAUCUUCGGACCUUGCGCGAUUGAAUGAGCCGAUGUCGGAUUAGCUAGUUGGCGGGGUAAAGGCCCACCAAGGCGACGAUCCGUAGCUGGUCUGAGAGGAUGAUCAGACACACUGGAACUGAGACACGGUCCAGACUCCUACGGGAGGCAGCAGUGGGGAAUAUUGGACAAUGGGCGCAAGCCUGAGCCAGCCAUACCGCGUGGGUGAAGAAGGCCUUCGGGUUGUAAAGCCCUUUUGUUGGGAAAGAAAAGCAGCAGGUUAAUACCCCGCUGUUCUGACGGUACCCAAAGAAUAAGCACCGGCUAACUUCGU
Molecule: ribosomal RNA, 491 nt
Filed under: uncultured bacterium
Lineage: Bacteria
Description: partial 16S ribosomal RNA
Rfam family: Bacterial small subunit ribosomal RNA
Source: RNAcentral